Molecule: transfer RNA, 76 nt
Filed under: Sphaerodactylus townsendi
Lineage: Eukaryota; Metazoa; Chordata; Lepidosauria; Squamata; Sphaerodactylidae
Description: tRNA-Glu
Source: RNAcentral
GGAGAAGGUCUAUGGCUCAGUGGCAGAGCAUCUGCUUCUCUUGCAGAAGGUCCCAGGCUCAAUCCUAGCAUCUCCA